Molecule: unclassified non-coding RNA, 1973 nt
Filed under: Patiria miniata (bat star)
Lineage: Eukaryota; Metazoa; Echinodermata; Asteroidea; Valvatida; Asterinidae
Description: uncharacterized LOC119723538, transcript variant X3
Source: RNAcentral
AGCAAUGAAUGACAAAGUGCCUUGCCCAAGGGCACAUGCCCCACAUCCCCAGGCUGGACUCGAACCCACAACCCGCAGAAUUACCCGCAGACCACGAAUUCAAUUCACGGGGCCACGGUACUAUCCGAUUUUGACCCUGUUUUUUUGGUUGCUUUCAAGCCAUACCUUUGCGUAUGUACCGAUAAAAAGCAAGGGCAGAGUGAAAUAUAAAGAGGAAGAAAAAAUGCUGUGCGCAGAAAUAAACUGCAGGCAAAAAAUUGUUUUUAGUGUGUACACAUCUAGGCAGUUUCCCCUUGCUUUGUUAACACCCGGAGUUCAGUUCACUGAUUAUAAUUAUAAAUGCGCAUAUAUUGCUGUGCCACUCAUGCUCAAUAGGCUAUUACGACAAAAGCUUUACCAGAAGCAACGUUUACAGCAGAAGUGACCUUGUUUGGCACAUUGUUGUAAUGUUUAUGGAUGGCAGUGGUGACCUUGUUUUGCACAUUGUUGUGAACCUGAAAGGCCCAUUUUGGCCUUGUGUUGCGAUAAUAGGCUGACUAGCGCUAGCCGAUGCUGGCAAUACCGACAGUGUAAAAACCUUGAAGCAGCAGCAGUAGAUUUGUUUCUGUUUCUGUUCCAUAAACGUACAAACACCUAGAAGGUUGUCGACGUACGUCUGUUUCUGUUCCAUAAACGUACAAACACCUAGAAGGUUGUCGACGUACGUCUGUUUCUGUUCCAUAAACGUACAAACACCUAGAAGGUUGUCGACGUACGUCUGUUUCUGUUCCAUAAACGUACAAACACCUAGAAGGUUGUCGACGUACGUCUGUUUCUGUUCCAUAAACGUACAAACACCUAGAAGGUUGUCGACGUACGUCUGUUUCUGUUCCAUAAACGUACAACGAUUUGAAGGGGAAGACUAAGAAUACUUCACAACAGUUUCAGAUCGGCACGCCAACAUGUCAUCUCUGAGGAAGAAAAGCAUCAAGAAUGUCCGCAGUCCGCGCCGCAUCGCGGCGUGUGUUGAGCAUCUCCCCCAGUCUUUCGUCGACCAGCUGUUGGCCCCUAAACGCAAGGCCAAGCUGAUGAAAGUGGCCGACACCGCGGAGGGAGGCGAGAGGGAGCUGGCGGAGUGGCUGUGGGAGAGCAGCCAGGCUCAGGCCCAAGAGGCGCUCGAUACGGGUUUCAUCCAGGGGAUUAAGAGUGGCCUUCUCGAUCCCACUGAUUAUGGUGGAUACACCGUUCAGGAUGCCGUGUAUUGCUUCAAUGCAACGAGCUACUACGGAAUCGCAUAUGAAAAAUGCAAAGAGUCUACUCUGAGGGAGUUCAUCCAAGGACGCAUCAAAAGUUACGCAGGCUACACAGAAGAGAUGUUUAAGCAGUGGUACAUCAAGGAUCCGAGGGGUAUUGCCAUGGGAACCGCCGCGGCCUCUUACUCUUCCUUCGAAAAGGGCGUGGCUACGAACUCCCAAGCAAUCUAUCUGUUGAUUGCCAUGCUGCCUUGCGAGCAACUGUGGGGGUGGCUUGCUGAGCAGAUUCAACCGGGCAUCAAUGACACGAACGUGUACAGCUUCUGGAUCGAGGAUAACCUUGGCGGCAGCCACAAACUGGCCAACUUCAUCAACGAGCAUACAGAGAGCUACGGGGUGCGCCCUGAAGUGGCCAAGGGGAUCUACAAAACAGCUAUGCAGUGUGAAGUGGAGUUCUUCAGAUCAGCCACAAUUGAUGUGGUUUAAAAACCACUCCAUUCAGUCACUAUUCUGGCAAAGGGUGCAUUAAUUUUAUGCAGGAUAGAUACAAAGAACAAAAUGAGUUCCUCGAACCAACUACGUUAUGUUUGAGCAAUUGAAUAAGACUUUGAUAAUGUACCGUGCCCAAUUUUGACGAAAAUGCAAGGUUAACCCGUUACAAUUUAAAAUUUACCAGAAAAGUCAAAUUUUGCCCGAUUUUGAUGCAAAUGCAAGGUUAACCCCUUGCAAUUUCAAAUUAAC